This 253-nucleotide ribosomal RNA is filed under the name uncultured bacterium. RNAcentral describes it as "partial 16S ribosomal RNA". It matches the Rfam family "Bacterial small subunit ribosomal RNA", at positions 524 to 776 of the family's 1533-position model. The record is from RNAcentral.
UACGAAGGGGGCUAGCGUUGUUCGGAAUUAUUGGGCGUAAAGCGCGCGCAGGUGGUUCCUUAAGUCUGAUGUGAAAGCCCACGGCUCAACCGUGGAGGGUCAUUGGAAACUGGGGAACUUGAGUGCAGAAGAGGAAAGUGGAAUUCCAAGUGUAGCGGUGAAAUGCGUAGAGAUUUGGAGGAACACCAGUGGCGAAGGCGACUUUCUGGUCUGUAACUGACACUGAGGCGCGAAAGCGUGGGGAGCAAACAGG